AGUGACUUAGGAUAGUAUAAGACCAAGGGCCUUCAAAGCCCUAAGAAAGGGUGAGAUCCCCUUAGUCUCUG
Molecule: transfer RNA, 71 nt
Filed under: Cynoglossus zanzibarensis (Zanzibar tonguesole)
Lineage: Eukaryota; Metazoa; Chordata; Actinopteri; Pleuronectiformes; Cynoglossidae
Description: tRNA-Trp
Rfam family: tRNA
About the family: Transfer RNA (tRNA) molecules are approximately 80 nucleotides in length.
Source: RNAcentral